Molecule: ribosomal RNA, 452 nt
Filed under: uncultured Chloroflexota bacterium
Lineage: Bacteria; Bacillati; Chloroflexota
Description: bacterial SSU rRNA
Rfam family: Bacterial small subunit ribosomal RNA
Source: RNAcentral
CCCGCACAAGCAGCGGAGCGUGUGGUUUAAUUCGAUGCAACGCGAAGAACCUUACCAGGGUUUGACAUGCUUAAAGUAGAAACUCGAAAGAGGGACGACCUGUAUCCAGUCAGGAAUUUGCACAGGUGCUGCAUGGCUGUCGUCAGCUCGUGCCGUGAGGUGUUAGGUUAAGUCCUGCAACGAGCGCAACCCUCGUCGCUAGUUACUUUUCUCUAGCGAUACUGCCCGUAUAACGUGGAGGAAGGUGGGGAUGACGUCAAGUCAGCACGGCCCUUACAUCCUGGGCUGCACACACGCUACAAUGGGUGAUACAACAGGUUGCAAUAGAGCGAUCUGGAGCCAAUCCCUAAAAUCAUCCUCAGUACGGAUUGCAGGCUGCAACUGCCUGCAUGAAGUUGGAGUUGCUAGUAAACGCAGGUCAGCACACUGCGUUGAAUACGUUCUCGGGCCUU